UGGCGGACGGGUGAGUAACGCGUGGAAAACCUGCCGUAUACUGGGGGAUAACACUUAGAAAUAGGUGCUAAUACCGCAUAAGCGCACAGCUUCGCAUGAAGCGGUGUGAAAAACUCUGGUGGUAUACGAUGGUUCCGCGUCUGAUUAGCUAGUUGGUGGGGUAAUGGCCUACCAAGGCAACGAUCAGUAGCCGGCCUGAGAGGGUGAACGGCCACAUUGGGACUGGGACACGGCCCAAACUCCUACGGAAGGCAGCAG
Molecule: ribosomal RNA, 258 nt
Filed under: uncultured bacterium
Lineage: Bacteria
Description: partial 16S ribosomal RNA
Rfam family: Bacterial small subunit ribosomal RNA
Source: RNAcentral